RNAcentral lists this long non-coding RNA (742 nucleotides) under Homo sapiens (human). RNAcentral's name for it is "non-protein coding lnc-ZNF705D-2:45". Lineage: Eukaryota; Metazoa; Chordata; Mammalia; Primates; Hominidae. The record is from RNAcentral.
CUGCGCAGGCCGCCCUAUUCCGCGCCCUCAGGGCGUCAGUAUCAGCCUGAGGCUGGAUACCCCCGCUGGGCCCGGAUGACCCCGCUGGGCCCGGAGCAUCCUCCGGCGCUGCCCUCCCAGAGCCACGCAGAGGCUGAGGUGGCGCGGGGGCGGCCCCGGCUCCGCGAGAAGCGGCGGCAGCGAGGGCUGGAGGACCCGGGCUGCGGGGCUCCGGGGCGUCUGGCCUGGGUGGGACUGAGCCCAUCCAGGGACUGGGACUCUGGGAUUCUGGUGUAGGUGGAUCCGGGGCAGGCUCAGGACCAAGUCCCUCUCCUUCCACCAAGGAGCGCCCAGAGGCCGGCGGGAGCUCCAGGUUCACCUCCUCCUCCUCCAGGAAAUCCCACUUCCAGCUAGAUGUCUGCAUGAACUACUGAAAGCUGCUGAGUGUCUUGCAGCAGGUGAGCUGUGGCCAGAGCUCAAGGAUGAAGGGGACUCCCUCACUCUGUGACUGUGAAGAGGAAGCCUGAGGUGUAGCAGGCCCAGGCCCCAGAAGUAUGGAAAAAAUGAGGCCAUUUUCAAUCCAGAGGAAGACCUUCUAAAAGAGGUGAUGGAUGGGAGAGUGCUGACAUACUAUGUGAAGCUACUAUUUGGAGUUGGACACGAGUGCAUGUGACCUUGUGCCACAGCGGGAAUGUGAGCUGGGUGACAAAUGGAGAUUUGGACUUGUGAUAAUUGGCCUCUGUGUCAUUGUGUGGAAGACUGA